RNAcentral lists this ribosomal RNA (387 nucleotides) under uncultured bacterium. RNAcentral's name for it is "bacterial SSU rRNA". It matches the Rfam family "Bacterial small subunit ribosomal RNA", at positions 355 to 758 of the family's 1533-position model. The record is from RNAcentral.
UGGGGAAUCUUGGACAAUGGGGGCAACCCUGAUCCAGCCAUGCCGCGUGAGUGAUGAAGGCCUUAGGGUCGUAAAGCUCUUUCGCCUGUGAAGAUAAUGACGGUAGCAGGUAAAGAAGUCCCGGCUAACUCCGUGCCAGCAGCCGCGGUAAUACGGAGGGGACUAGCGUUGUUCGGAAUUACUGGGCGUAAAGAGUUCGUAGGCGGACUAGCAAGUUAGAGGUGAAAUCCCAGGGCUCAACCUUGGAACUGCCUUUAAAAGCUGCUAGUCUAGAGACCGGAAGAGGUUAGGGGAAUACCUAGUGUAGAGGUGAAAUUCGUAGAUAUUAGGUGGAACACCAGUGGCGAAGGCGCCUAACUGGUCCGGUACUGACGCUGAGGAACGAAA